Molecule: small nucleolar RNA, 138 nt
Organism: Tachyglossus aculeatus (Australian echidna)
Lineage: Eukaryota; Metazoa; Chordata; Mammalia; Monotremata; Tachyglossidae
Source: RefSeq, a predicted model, not a curated record
CCCCUCUCAGGGUCGCACCUGGAGUGUUUCCAGUAUUCUAUCAGUCUUGACUAUGGGAGGGAGAGUAAUGUAGAGGCAUAUCCAUUCCACUCCUAGCUUACACAGUGGAUAGUGAGUGGAAGACAAUCUGCUACAAGU